RNAcentral lists this ribosomal RNA (545 nucleotides) under uncultured bacterium. RNAcentral describes it as "bacterial SSU rRNA". It matches the Rfam family "Bacterial small subunit ribosomal RNA", at positions 186 to 722 of the family's 1533-position model. The record is from RNAcentral.
CCGAAUGGUUCAGAGGGAAAAGGAGCAAUUCGCUUUGGGAUGGACUCGCGUCCGAUUAGCUAGAUGGUGAGGUAAACGGCCCACCAUGGCGACGAUCGGUAGCCGGACUGAGAGGUUGAUCGGCCACAUUGGGACUGAGACACGGCCCAGACUCCUACGGGAGGCAGCAGUAGGGAAUCUUCGGCAAUGGACGGAAGUCUGACCGAGCAACGCCGCGUGAGUGAAGAAGGUUUUCGGAUCGUAAAGCUCUGUUGUAAGAGAAGAACGAGUGUGAGAGUGGAAAGUUCACACUGUGACGGUAUCUUACCAGAAAGGGACGGCUAACUACGUGCCAGCAGCCGCGGUAAUACGUAGGUCCCGAGCGUUGUCCGGAUUUAUUGGGCGUAAAGCGAGCGCAGGCGGUUAGAUAAGUCUGAAGUUAAAGGCUGUGGCUUAACCAUAGUACGCUUUGGAAACUGUUUAACUUGAGUGCAGAAGGGGAGAGUGGAAUUCCAUGUGUAGCGGUGAAAUGCGUAGAUAUAUGGAGGAACACCGGUGGCGAAAGC